GAUGAACGCUGGCGGCGUGCCUAAUACAUGCAAGUCGAGCGGACGGACGAGAAGCUUGCGUCCCUGAGGUUAGCGGCGGACGGGCGAGUAACACGUGGAUCACCUACCUAUAAUACUGGGAUAACUUCGGGAAACCGUAUCCAAUACCGGCGCAUAUGUUGAACCGCAUGGUUCAAAAGUGAAAGACGGUCUUGCUGUCACUAAGAGACGGAGCCGCGCUGCAUUAGCUAGUUGGUAAGGUAACGGCUUACCAAGGCAACGAUGCAUAGCCGACCUGAGAGGGUGAUCGGCCACACUGGAACUGAGACACGGUCCAGACUCCUACGGGAGGCAGCAGUAGGGAAUCUUCCGCAAUGGGCGCAGGCCUGACGGAGCAACGCCGCGUGAGUGAUGAAGGUCUUCGGAUCGUAAAACUCUGUUAUUAGGGAAGAACAUAUGUGUGAGUAACCGUGCACAUCUUGACGGUACCUAAUCAGAAAGCCCCGGCUAACUACGUG
This 497-nucleotide ribosomal RNA is filed under the name uncultured bacterium. RNAcentral's name for it is "partial 16S ribosomal RNA". It matches the Rfam family "Bacterial small subunit ribosomal RNA", at positions 28 to 507 of the family's 1533-position model. The record is from RNAcentral.